CCGCGGUGACUUCCACGGGGGCGUGCUGGUGCUGACGGUGCUGGUCGAGGGGAUCCUGGCCCCCGCCGCGGA
This 72-nucleotide transfer RNA is filed under the name Streptomyces morookaense. RNAcentral describes it as "tRNA-Val". The record is from RNAcentral. Lineage: Bacteria; Bacillati; Actinomycetota; Actinomycetes; Kitasatosporales; Streptomycetaceae.